CAGUCGCCGCGGUAAAACGGAGGGUGCAAGCGUUAAUCGGAAUUACUGGGCGUAAAGCGCACGCAGGCGGUCUGACAAGUCAGAUGUGAAAUCCCCGGGCUCAACCUGGGAACUGCAUUUGAAACUGUCAGGCUGGAGUCUUGUAGAGGGGGGUAGAAUUCCAGGUGUAGCGGUGAAAUGCGUAGAGAUCUGGAGGAAUACCGGUGGCGAAGGCGGCCCCCUGGACAAAGACUGACGCUCAGGUGCGAAAGCGUGGGGAGCAAACAGGAUUAGAUACCCGGGUAGUCCCUGUCUCUUAUAC
RNAcentral lists this ribosomal RNA (301 nucleotides) under uncultured bacterium. RNAcentral describes it as "partial 16S ribosomal RNA". It matches the Rfam family "Bacterial small subunit ribosomal RNA", at positions 509 to 807 of the family's 1533-position model. The record is from RNAcentral.